CAAAUCUGCGCCCCUCACACACAGCAAGCUGGCCUACAUCAGAUUAAAUGCAUGGGUUCCCUCACUCGAUCAAGCGCUUCUGCGCUCAUCCCAAUCCAUUCUCGAAAACCCUAGCAGAGUAAAAACCAGUCUCGGAUUGCUGGAUUCUCCUUUCAUUUAUGCAAAUCUUCAAAUGGAAAAUGCUCAACGCCUCUCCAUCCAUAGUGCUUCUAUAGUAACUGUCUUCGAAGGCAAGCCUCGGAUCUCCUUCUUUCAUCUUCUCUUAGGGUUUCUCAAACCGCAGCUCGAUCUAUCUUGAUUGAUUCUUUGUUCUCGCCCGAGGAUGUCGAGAUCGGAUCCCGACCGUUGGAUUUCUUCCAGUCCAUCACUUCGGAGCGGGUGAAGGUCAUCUCGAUACUCGGGCUGGCACUGGCGCUCUAUAACACGUAUUGGGUGGUGAUGUCGAUGGCGAUCGUUCCUCUGUUGCCUGUGUUGUUCAGUUGCAUUUGGUAGCAGCUUCAAAGAAGGGAUGCGGAUAUUCCAACUGUAAACAGAACAAGCCGAGCUUCUCAUCCAGUCCAUUCAUAUACUAUACAUCCCUGGCUAUAGGGGUGUUGCUAGAUGACCUGCUUGUGGCUGAAGAUCUAGCUGCUGCUGAAACAACAAGUGCUGCUUCACAUGCUGCAGCAGCAGCUGCUGCAACCAAUGUACAAGCAGGGAGAUUACCUGCAAGAUACACAUUUGUUGAUGAAAGAACAAGACAAGAAAUUCCUAAAGUAGGUGUUGAUGGUGCUGUUGUGCUGGGUAGCCUGGUUGCCCCUCCUAUAAAUGGGAUAUGUACACCGAUAUAAGUGCUGAGAAUGCAAUGCUUCAAAGGAGACUUAGUAAAGGGGUUGAAUACUUGGUUGAGGUCAGCUGCAGAAGCUGGGCCUAUAAGUGCUACAUUAGCUGCUGCCAAGGCCUGACAAAUUAAUGAAGAGAUUGAGUAAAUUACGGAUCGGGAUCAUGGAGCAGAUGUUACACCAAGUGGGAAACAAAUUUCUACCCUGAUUAAGGUGUCAGAUUCCACCUUAACAAAUAACGUCCCACCAUCUGGAGUUCGGCUGCAUUGCAGAGCUGUCGGUAGUUAAAUACUGCCUUUUUGAAUCUAUUUUAACUUACUAAUAUGAAGUUGCUUCUAUUCCUGUAUGUUGACUCAGAAAUUACUCAAUUUGCUUACAAAUUAUCUGCAGGUUGUUGCUGUA
Molecule: RNA transcript, 1223 nt
Organism: Magnolia sinica
Lineage: Eukaryota; Viridiplantae; Streptophyta; Magnoliopsida; Magnoliales; Magnoliaceae
Gene name: serine/threonine-protein phosphatase BSL3-like
Exons: 4
Source: RefSeq, a predicted model, not a curated record